CCAAUUUGACAGCUUUCUCUGUGCUCAUCAGAUACAUUUGGCGCUUUGCUUCCUUCCUUUCCUGCCAUCGGCUAGGUCCUUCUUCCUUCUGCCCAUAGGCAUUCACAUUUCGGGCUGCUGCUGCAGCAGCCCGCUCGGCUUGAGCCCGACUAAGACCCUUGGCAGCUGACAGCGCCGCUGCCUUGAUCCGUUCAGCUGCAGCCUGCGCUUUCUCUUCCUUCUUGCUCGACAUAUCUAUGACUGUAUAAUUAGAACGAUCUGUAACUCUUAAUAUCCUGGAAAAAAAGAAAGACGUAAAUGGUUUAAGAGGUCCACUCCAUGGUGACCUAAAUUUAUGGCUGGAAAAAAAAAAACAAAACCUAGUCCUAAUUUUAUUGGGAGGAAACACAUCCGAGCUAUGAAACCUUGAUUUCGAAUGGGAAGCCAACCAAACAUAGUAGAAAGUAGAAACCAAGGCAUCAGUAUCUUUUAAUCCUACAAGUCAUAGAAAUGCACAUCAACACACAUCUAGACUAGCGGAACAAGGCUCCGAAAGCAAAUAAAACAAAGAGAAGGCACAACUGCGAGCCCCAGAAAACAACAAUAGCAAGCGAAUAAGUCCCGUUGAGAAAAGUUGUACUUUCGAAAGCCGGAUUCUUAGGAGAGAGGAACCCCUCGACUCCUCAUCCAGUCUAGUCAACCAGAUCUUUCAUAUCGUUCGUCAAGAACCAAAACAUGAACGACCGACCUCAGAAAGCAAACGUGCGAAGGGGUGAACGAGAUGCACCCAUCUCUUAAAUAAAAAACGAAAUCGAUCAAUUUCGGAAAGCAAACGCGCAAAGAGACGAACAGAGAGGUAAUCAUCUUCUUGUCCAGAUCUUUCAGAUCGAUCAUCAACAAGCAUAAAAGGUAAUCAUCUUCUUGUCCAGAUCUUUCAGAUCGAUCAUCAACAAGCAUAAAAGGUAAUCAUCUUCUUGUCCAGAUCUUUCAGAUCGAUCAUCGACAAGCAUAAAAGAAGGAUCGAUUUCAGAAAACAAACACGCGAAGAGACGAACGGAGAGGUAAUCUCAGAUCUUUCAGAUCGAUCGCCAAGAAGAAAGCAAACACCGAAAGAAACGGAUGGAGAGGUAAGACAGGAAUGCGAGAGGAUCGAAUCGAGGUAC
This 1142-nucleotide long non-coding RNA is filed under the name Musa acuminata (dwarf banana). RNAcentral's name for it is "long non-coding RNA (MACU_LNC006822)". Lineage: Eukaryota; Viridiplantae; Streptophyta; Magnoliopsida; Zingiberales; Musaceae. The record is from RNAcentral.